Molecule: ribosomal RNA, 408 nt
Filed under: uncultured bacterium
Lineage: Bacteria
Description: partial 16S ribosomal RNA
Rfam family: Bacterial small subunit ribosomal RNA
Source: RNAcentral
GACGAACGCUGGCGGCGUGCUUAACACAUGCAAGUCGAACGAAGUGGCGAACGGGUGAGUAACGUGUAAUCAACCUGCCCUUCAGAGGGGGACAACAGUUGGAAACGACUGCUAAUACCGCAUACUGAAGGAGGGGAUUGCGUCUGAUUAGCUAGCUGGAGGGGUAACGGCCCACCAAGUCGAUGAUCAGUCGCCGGUCUGUGAGGAUGAACGGCCAAAAUGGGACUGGGACACGGCCCAGAAUCCUACGGGAGGCAGCAGUGGGGGAUCUUCCGCAAUGGACGAAAGUCUGACGGAGCAACGCCGCGUGGGAGAUGACGGCCUUCGGGUUGUAAAGCUCUGUUAAUCGGGACGCGGUACCGGAAUAGAAAGCCACGGCUAACUACGUGCCAGCAGCCGCGGUAAUAC